AGAGCGAACGCUGGCGGCAGGCUUAACACAUGCAAGUCGAGCGGGCGUAGCAAUACGUCAGCGGCAGACGGGUGAGUAACGCGUGGGAACGUACCUUUUGGUUCGGAACAACACAGGGAAACUUGUGCUAAUACCGGAUAAGCCCUUACGGGGAAAGAUUUAUCGCCAAAAGAUCGGCCCGCGUCUGAUUAGCUAGUUGGUGAGGUAACGGCUCACCAAGGCGACGAUCAGUAGCUGGUCUGAGAGGAUGAUCAGCCACAUUGGGACUGAGACACGGCCCAAACUCCUACGGGAGGCAGCAGUGGGGAAUAUUGGACAAUGGGCGCAAGCCUGAUCCAGCCAUGCCGCGUGAGUGAUGAAGGUCCUAGGGUUGUAAAGCUCUUUUGUGCGGGAGAUAAUGACGGUACCGCAAGAAUAACGCCCCGGCUAACUUCGCGCCAGCAGCCGC
Molecule: ribosomal RNA, 448 nt
Filed under: uncultured bacterium
Lineage: Bacteria
Description: SSU rRNA
Rfam family: Bacterial small subunit ribosomal RNA
Source: RNAcentral